CCUACGGGAGGCUGCAGUGGGGGAUAUUGCACAAUGGGGGGAACCCUGAUGCAGCGACGCCGCGUGUGGGAAGACGGUCCUCUGGAUUGUAAACCACUGUCCCCAGGGACGAAAAUGACGGUACCUGGGGAGGAAGCUCCGGCUAACUACGUACAAGCAGCCGCGGUAAUACGUAGGGAGCGAGGGUUGUCCGGAAUUACUGGGUGUAAAGGGAGCGUAGGCGGGGAUGCAAGUUGGGUGUCAAAACUACCGGCUCAACUGGUAGUCGCACUCAAAACUGCAGCUCUUGAGUGAAGUAGAGGCAGGCGGAAUUCGUAGUGGAGCGGUGAAAUGCGUAGAUAUUAGGAGGAACACCAGUGGCGAAGGCGGCCUGCUGGGCUUUUACUGACGCUGAGGCUCGAAAGUGUGGGGAGCAAACAGGAUUAGAUACCCCAGUAGUC
RNAcentral lists this ribosomal RNA (440 nucleotides) under uncultured bacterium. RNAcentral describes it as "partial 16S ribosomal RNA". It matches the Rfam family "Bacterial small subunit ribosomal RNA", at positions 338 to 795 of the family's 1533-position model. The record is from RNAcentral.